This 848-nucleotide ribosomal RNA is filed under the name uncultured bacterium. RNAcentral describes it as "bacterial SSU rRNA". It matches the Rfam family "Bacterial small subunit ribosomal RNA", at positions 28 to 870 of the family's 1533-position model. The record is from RNAcentral.
AUUGAACGCUGGCGGCAGGCCUAACACAUGCAAGUCGAGCGGUAGAGAGAAGCUUGCUUCUCUUGAGAGCGGGCGGACGGGUGAGUAAUGCCUAGGAAUCUGCCUGGUAGUGGGGGAUAACGUUCGGAAACGGACGCUAAUACCGCAUACGUCCUACGGGAGAAAGCAGGGGACCUUCGGGCCUUGCGCUAUCAGAUGAGCCUAGGUCGGAUUAGCUAGUUGGUGGGGUAAUGGCUCACCAAGGCGACGAUCCGUAACUGGUCUGAGAGGAUGAUCAGUCACACUGGAACUGAGACACGGUCCAGACUCCUACGGGAGGCAGCAGUGGGGAAUAUUGGACAAUGGGCGAAAGCCUGAUCCAGCCAUGCCGCGUGUGUGAAGAAGGUCUUCGGAUUGUAAAGCACUUUAAGUUGGGAGGAAGGGUUGUAGAUUAAUACUCUGCAAUUUUGACGUUACCGACAGAAUAAGCACCGGCUAACUCUGUGCCAGCAGCCGCGGUAAUACAGAGGGUGCAAGCGUUAAUCGGAAUUACUGGGCGUAAAGCGCGCGUAGGUGGUUAGUUAAGUUGGAUGUGAAAUCCCCGGGCUCAACCUGGGAACUGCAUUCAAAACUGACUGACUAGAGUAUGGUAGAGGGUGGUGGAAUUUCCUGUGUAGCGGUGAAAUGCGUAGAUAUAGGAAGGAACACCAGUGGCGAAGGCGGCUCACUGGACUGGUAUUGACGCUGAGGUGCGAAAGCGUGGGGAGCAAACAGGAUUAGAUACCCUGGUAGUCCACGCCGUAAACGAUGAUAACUAGCUGUCGGGGGCCUUAGGCUUUCGGUGGCGCAGCUAACGCAUUAAGUUAUCC